AAAAAAAGAAAAGAAAUUUCAUAAAUGCUUCUCCUCCUUUCUGUUUUUUAAUUAGAUUUUCAUAGCCGAUUUCUGGGGAGAACAACAUAUUUCAGAUGCAACAAAUUCAUCUGCACUCAGGCUUAGAUCAGGUACUCGAGAGGCUUUGUGGCAGUAGGGGGUGGAAAAUGUCAGGAAUGAGACCUUGAUGGGGUAAGAGGGGAAGGGGUGAAGGAACAGGGUAGGGGUUUGGGGCAGCCCUCACUGCUGGCCAAUGUUUCUGGAUGAAAACAGCUUUGGUUAAGAUCUGAAGUAUUUUUUAAUUCUACACAUACUCAGAAAUAAUAGGUAAUAAGAAUUUUAAAAACGUAGAGUGCAUAAACUAUAAAGCGAAAAUUCCCAGUGGCGAUGGCUAACAAUUUUUUGUUCAGGUUUCCUGAAUUGUUUUUCUGUUCAUGUACACACACACACGCCUCAACGUUUUCAACUUGCCUUUGAUACUUACUAGAUAUUGCUAUACUUCCUUAUUAUUACCUAUAAAUCUGCCUCAUUCUUUAACUACUAUUGAGAGACAGUUAAGCUGUUGUUAUUUUGAUUUUUUCUUAUUACAAGCACUGUAACAGUGAAUAGGCUUUGAGCACUGGGAGAGCACUUCAGGGAAUCUAUCCACUGAAGAAUAAAUCUCUUAGAGUGAAAUUGCUGCAUUUAACAGGUAGCUCCUGGGAGCAGAAAAAUUCAAACAGGCUGUCGUGUAGGCUGGAUUCCCACCUACUGCCUGGAGAGACUGGAACAUGGACAUGGAACAGCAUUUCUGCAUGGAAUUUAUUUUUCUUCUCUGACGUUGAAAUUUGCAUUUCUUUUAGUAAAAUAAGCUGGUUCAAAAACAUGUACGCACCCUUGUUUUGUCCAUGUCACUUAACAAUUCCAAAGGAUUUGGGAUUUUUACAGUUUUUUUUUUCAAGAAUUCAGUGAAACAGAGCUAGUGUUAGCAGCUCCAUAUUUUAGUCAGGAAACUGAGGCACAUUUGAGGCCUGGCAUCUUAUUUAAGCACAGUCUCUCUCCACUGUGUGAAUCACAGUUUAAUACUGUCCAAAUCAGGAUUCUUCGUUGCAUGCAACAGAAACUGACUCAUGCUGACUAAGUAGAAGGAGAAUUUCUGGACAACUCUGGGAAUCGCUAGGAAGGCAGGCAAGCCAGGUUUGGAGAACAGUGGAAGCAGAGGCACUGCAGCACGGACGCUCAGCUGCCACUGCUGCCACUGUCAGACUGGAUUCUCGUCUGCCCCCGUCCCUGCAUGGCUCACUAGCCAGACGGAGGGCACAGGCUGGGCCUGGGUGCAGAGGAGUCCGGGAAUGUAGCGUUGGCUCCCCUUUGGCAUCUCCAGCAGGUUGUGGACUCUGCUCUCCUAUGGGGGAAAUUUCCAGAUAUGGGAAACUGAUUUGGUCACUGGUAUAUGCUCAAACCUUUUGGCUAUUUCUUUCUUGGGUUGAUAACUUGUUAACAAAUAUUUCUUUCUAAAAAAUCCUUCUGCAACAUCUAUCUUUAGGAAUUUCUGGGAACAAAAGCAUAAGGAGUGGAGAGCCAGCUUAUUCCUAAGCCAUAAAUUUAACAUUAAGUAUAUACAUUUCCCAGACUAAAAUAUUUAUGGUCAGCUGUAUGUCACACAGGGUUAUUUGGAAAAUUUUGGUGUGUAGAAUUAAUAAGGAGCCCUAGGAUGCCUUGAUCUCUCAUUUUCUAGCUGUCAGGCAUGAUGAUCCCAGAGGUGAAGGAAAAAUAAUUAAACAGUGGAGGAAAAAACAAUCUCAUUUGCUGUGUUUUGAUUUUCAGAAAAGACAGUGUUCUAAAAGCCAUAACCUCAGGAAACUAAGAAAUAGUUUCUUAUUUUGAAUCAAUUACUUUAAUCUGUUAGUUUUCCUGUAAUUAUAAUAAAAACAUUUAGCUGAGA
Molecule: long non-coding RNA, 1924 nt
Organism: Sapajus apella (tufted capuchin)
Lineage: Eukaryota; Metazoa; Chordata; Mammalia; Primates; Cebidae
Exons: 2
Source: RefSeq, a predicted model, not a curated record